RNAcentral lists this ribosomal RNA (478 nucleotides) under uncultured archaeon. Its description in RNAcentral is "partial 16S ribosomal RNA". It matches the Rfam family "Archaeal small subunit ribosomal RNA", at positions 111 to 587 of the family's 1478-position model. The record is from RNAcentral.
ACCCUUAGGACUGGGAUAACUCUGGGAAACUGGGGAUAAUACUGGAUAUUAGGCUAUGCCUGGAAUGGUUUGCCUUUGAAAUGUUUUUUUUCGCCUAAGGAUAGGUCUGCGGCUGAUUAGGUCGUUGGUGGGGUAAUGGCCCACCAAGCCGAUGAUCGGUACGGGUUGUGAGAGCAAGGGCCCGGAGAUGGAACCUGAGACAAGGUUCCAGACCCUACGGGGUGCAGCAGGCGCGAAACCUCCGCAAUGUACGAAAGUGCGACGGGGGGAUCCCAAGUGUUAUGCUUUUUUGUAUGACUUUUCAUUAGUGUAAAAAGCUUUUAGAAUAAGAGCUGGGCAAGACCGGUGCCAGCCGCCGCGGUAACACCGGCAGCUCGAGUGGUAGCUGUUUUUAUUGGGCCUAAAGCGUUCGUAGCCGGUUUGAUAAGUCUUUGGUGAAAGCUUGUAGCUUAACUAUAAGAAUUGCUGGAGAUACUAU